AAAUAAUCUACGAUUGAUAAUAAUGAGUAUAAAGAGAAAGGAAGAGAUCUGUUAGAGACAUGGGCAUGGGGUUUGCUUAUUUCAAGUUACUAAAAGGAAGCAACGACACGGAUAUGGAACCACGAUAGACAACAUUGCUAAAGUAACUGGGAUUAUUAAAUUUGGAGGAAUGUUCAAGGUCUCUAUGACUUAGGACUAAGCAGGUUUGGCUUUGAGGCUAUUUAUGGUUUGGUUUUCUUUUUCUUAAUCUUCUGUUUAACUUGAAUACCGUAGGAAAUAAUUCGUGCACAUUAUAGAUGCGAAAAUAAUGUCAUGUUGCUCAUGUUGCUAGGGACUAGAUGUUACUGAUCAAGUUGCUCAUUUUGUACAUUUUUAUUCAUGAGCUGUUAAAGAACACUCAACUAUAAGUUUAAGUUGUAAAGAAAGAGCUCUUAUUGAUUUAUGUUUCUCCUAGCAUGUUCUUUUGUGUUGUUAAUUGAUGCAUUGUCCAGUCUAUUGUUGAGUUCCUAUUAUCCUGGCAGUACUGGUUUUAGCAUCAACUAACUAUCAUAGCAUGUUUAAAGUUCAGCCCUUAUUCUGUAGAUGAAGCAACCAUAUCAUAAACGUAUGUGUUGUUAAUUUCAAAAUAUAUUUUAGGUUUUCUUGUCCAACAAUGCCUUUCUUUUUCCAUUAAAUUGAUUAAAUGAUUUGGUAUUGUUUCUGCUUUUGAUUCAAAGUUUAGAUUUAGAAAACAAUGGAACCGCUGCCGCCGAAAACAAUGGAACCAAAGAAGGUAAGGAAAAUGUAGAUGAAGUGUUUGAGUAAAGUUCUACAAAUGAUAAUAACCCUUUGCCUCGAGCGUGAAUGGAUCCAUCAAACGGGUAGUAUUAGUUAUCAACUACUUAUGAGCUUUGUCAAAUGACAUUGUAUGGCGAUGACACUAUUGGUGCAUUGGUUUUAUGGAGAUGACAUUGUAUGCUUGAGAUAUGUAUGUAUGUAGUCUACAUGUUGAACUGAUGUAUCUUGAUAGCUUUUGAUUUGUUGCAUACAUGAACAUGCCUUUGGCUAAUAGUGAGAUGCAUUGCUUUUAUGGUAACUAAUGUGUCAGCAUGCAUCAUCUAUGUGUAUCAUCAAAUCUCGCAAACAAUGUAAAGUACCAAUAUUCUCAAUAUUCUCUUAGGUGAAGAAGGUAGAUUUGCAUGGAACAAGCUGCCAAUGUUGCUGCCAUGAUUCAAUACUCCACUUUCUUGUGAGUUCAGUUGAUUCAUAAGGUCAUCUCGGGUGAAGAUCAAAUUCACAGGAACUGCUUUCAAUGUUUCUGUUUCACCACUUAUGUAAUAUAUCAUAACUAUAAAUACUAAAUUUAAUGUUUUUGUCAUCCUAAUAGUCUGCUGCUAUUUGUAUAGCUGCUUGUUUCUGAACCCUCAGUACCAUUGCAUAUGCCUAUUUUUAUUAAUUC
Long non-coding RNA from Vicia villosa (hairy vetch), 1438 nucleotides. RefSeq lists it as uncharacterized. The record is from RefSeq and is a predicted model, not a curated record. The transcript is spliced from 3 exons. Lineage: Eukaryota; Viridiplantae; Streptophyta; Magnoliopsida; Fabales; Fabaceae.